AGUUCGGAUUGUAGGCUGCAACUCGCCUACAUGAAGUCGGAGUUGCUAGUAAUCGCGGAUCAGAAUGCCGCGGUGAAUGCGUUCCCGGGUCUUGUACACACCGCCCGUCACACCAUGGAAGUUGGGGGCGCCCGAAGUUGCCUAAGAAAUAAGGUACCUAAGGCGAAACCAAUGACUGGGGUGAAGUCGUAACAAGGUAUC
RNAcentral lists this ribosomal RNA (201 nucleotides) under uncultured bacterium. RNAcentral describes it as "partial 16S ribosomal RNA". It matches the Rfam family "Bacterial small subunit ribosomal RNA", at positions 1290 to 1500 of the family's 1533-position model. The record is from RNAcentral.